GCCUCAGUAACGGCGAGUGAAGCGGCAACAGCUCAAAUUUGAAAUCUGGCUCUUUUAGGGCCCGAGUUGUAAUUUGUAGAGGAUGCUUCGGCGUCGGCUCCGGUCUAAGUUCCUUGGAACAGGACGUCAUAGAGGGUGAGAAUCCCGUAUGUGAUCGGUUGCCUUUGCCAUGUGAAGCUCCUUCGACGAGUCGAGUUGUUUGGGAAUGCAGCUCUAAAUGGGAGGUAAAUUUCUUCUAAAGCUAAAUACCGGCCAGAGACCGAUAGCGCACAAGUAGAGUGAUCGAAAGAUGAAAAGCACUUUGGAAAGAGAGUCAAAAAGUACGUGAAAUUGUUGAAAGGGAAGCGCUUGCAACCAGACCUGCCUGCAGUUGUUCAUCCGGGCUUCUGCCCGGUGCACUCUUCUGCUGUCAGGCCAGCAUCAGUUCGGGCGGUCGGAUAAAGGCUUUGGGAAUGUAGCUCCUCUCGGGGAGUGUUAUAGCCCGUUGCGAAAUGCGGCCAGCCUGGACUGAGGUCCGCGCUUCGGCUAGGAUGCUGGCGUAAUGGUUGUAAGCGGCCCGUCUUGAAACACGGACCAAGGAGUCUAACAUCUGUGCGAGUGUUUGGGUGUCAAACCCGUACGCGUAAUGAAAGUGAACGGAGGCGGGAACCUCUCGGGGUGCACCGUCGACCGAUCCUGAUGUCUUCGGAUGGAUUUGAGUAAGAGCAUAGCUGUUGGGACCCGAAAGAUGGUGAACUAUGCCUGAAUAGGGUGAAGCCAGAGGAAACUCUGGUGGAGGCUCGCAGCGGUUCUGACGUGCAAAUCGAUCGUCAAAUUUGGGCAUAGGGGCG
This 830-nucleotide ribosomal RNA is filed under the name Cenococcum geophilum. RNAcentral's name for it is "eukaryotic LSU rRNA". It matches the Rfam family "Eukaryotic large subunit ribosomal RNA", at positions 77 to 925 of the family's 3401-position model. Lineage: Eukaryota; Fungi; Ascomycota; Dothideomycetes; Gloniales; Gloniaceae. The record is from RNAcentral.